RNAcentral lists this ribosomal RNA (903 nucleotides) under uncultured bacterium. RNAcentral describes it as "bacterial SSU rRNA". It matches the Rfam family "Bacterial small subunit ribosomal RNA", at positions 63 to 951 of the family's 1533-position model. The record is from RNAcentral.
CGAGGGGCAGCGGGGGUGAUGGCUUGCCAUCACCUGCCGGCGACCGGCUCACGGGUGAGUAACACGUAUGCAACCUGCCCGCCACAGGGGGAUAAGCGGAAGAAAUUCCGUCUAAUACCGCGUGACGCGGCAUCGGGGCAUCCCGGUGCCGCCAAAGGGAUUACCGGUGGCGGAUGGGCAUGCGGCGCAUUAGCUAGUCGGCGGGGUAACGGCCCACCGAGGCGACGAUGCGUAGGGGUUCUGAGAGGAAGGUCCCCCACACUGGUACUGAGACACGGACCAGACUCCUACGGGAGGCAGCAGUGAGGAAUAUUGGUCAAUGGGCGCGAGCCUGAACCAGCCAAGUCGCGUGAGGGAUGACGGUCCUACGGAUUGUAAACCUCUUUUGCCGGGGAGCAAGCGUGCGUUCGUGAACGCGCGUCGAGAGUACCCGGAGAAAAAGCAUCGGCUAACUCCGUGCCAGCAGCCGCGGUAAUACGGAGGAUGCGAGCGUUAUCCGGAUUUAUUGGGUUUAAAGGGUGCGUAGGCGGGAUGCCAAGUCAGCGGUAAAAAUGCGGUGCUCAACGCCGUCGAGCCGUUGAAACUGGCGUUCUUGAGUGGGCGAGAAGUAUGCGGAAUGCGUGGUGUAGCGGUGAAAUGCAUAGAUAUCACGCAGAACUCCGAUUGCGAAGGCAGCAUACCGGCGCCCUACUGACGCUGAGGCACGAAAGCGUGGGUAUCGAACAGGAUUAGAUACCCUGGUAGUCCACGCAGUAAACGAUGAAUGCUAACUGUCCGGUGCGAAUGAGCGCUGGGCGGUACAGCGAAAGCGUUAAGCAUUCCACCUGGGGAGUACGCCGGCAACGGUGAAACUCAAAGGAAUUGACGGGGGCCCGCACAAGCGGAGGAACAUGUGGUUUAAUU